UUGUAGUCAUAUGCUUGUCUCAAAGAUUAAGCCAUGCAUGUCUAAGUAUAAGCAACUUUGUACUGUGAGACUGCGAAUGGCUCAUUAAAUCAGUUAUAGUUUAUAUGAUGGUUUUUGCUACAUGGAUAACUGUGGUAAUUCUAGAGCUAAUACAUGCAUUCAAGCCCCGACUUCUGGAAGGGGCGUAUUUAUUAGAUAAAAAUCAACUUUGUUGGUGAAUCAUAAUAACUUCUCGGACCGCAUGGCCUCGUGCUGGCGGUGCUUCAUUCAAAUAUCUGCCCUAUCAACUGUCGAUGGUAGGAUAGAGGCCUACCAUGGUUGCAACGGGUAACGGGGAAUAAGGGUUCGAUUCCGGAGAGGGAGCCUGAGAAACGGCUACCACAUCCAAGGAAGGCAGCAGGCGCGCAAAUUACCCAAUCCCAACACGGGGAGGUAGUGACAAUAUGUAACAAUAUACGGCCUUAUACGUCGUAUAAUUGGAAUGAGUACAAUUUAAAUCCCUUAACGAGGAACAAU
Molecule: ribosomal RNA, 516 nt
Filed under: uncultured Basidiomycota
Lineage: Eukaryota; Fungi; Basidiomycota
Description: SSU rRNA
Rfam family: Eukaryotic small subunit ribosomal RNA
Source: RNAcentral